RNAcentral lists this ribosomal RNA (749 nucleotides) under Bacillus aerius. Its description in RNAcentral is "partial 16S ribosomal RNA". It matches the Rfam family "Bacterial small subunit ribosomal RNA", at positions 621 to 1377 of the family's 1533-position model. The record is from RNAcentral. Lineage: Bacteria; Bacillati; Bacillota; Bacilli; Caryophanales; Bacillaceae.
GAGGUCAUGGAACUGGGAACUGAGUGCAGAAGAGGAGAGUGGAAUUCWCKGUAGSGGUGAAWUGCGUGAGAUGUGGAGGRACACCAGUGUSGAAGKCGWCUCUCUGKUCUGUAACUGACGCUGAGGAGCGAAAGCGUGGGGAGCGAACAGGAUUAGAUAYCSUGGUAGUSCACGCCGUAAWYGAUGAGUGUUAAGKUUAGGGGGUUUCCGCCCSUUAGUGSUGCRGSUAACGCAUUAAGCACUCCGCCUGGGGAGUACGGUCGCAAGACUGAAASUCAAAGGAAUUGACGGGGGCCCGCACAAGCGGUGGAGCAUGUGGUUUAAUUCGAAGCAACGCGAAGAACCUUACCAGGUCUUGACAUCCUCUGACAWCCCUAGAGAUAGGGCUUUCCCUUCGGGGACAGAGUGRCAGGUGGKGCAUGGUKGUCGUCAGCUCGUGUCGUGAGAUGUUGGGUUAAGUCCCGCAACGAGCGCAACCCUUGAUCUUAGUUGCCAGCAUUCAGUUGGGCACUYUAAGGUGACUGCCGGUGACAAACCGGAGGAAGGUGGGGAUGACGUCAAAUCAUCAUGCCCCUUAUGACCUGGGCUACACACGUGCUACAAGGGACAGAACAAAGGGCUGCGAGACCGCAAGGUUUAGCCAAUCCCACAAAUCUUUUCUCAGUGCGGAUCGCAGUGUGCAACUCGAGUGCGUGAAUCUKGAAUCGCUAGUAAUCUCGGAUCAGCAUUCCUCGGGGAAUCUUUCCCGG